RNAcentral lists this ribosomal RNA (1471 nucleotides) under Limosilactobacillus reuteri. RNAcentral's name for it is "partial 16S ribosomal RNA". It matches the Rfam family "Bacterial small subunit ribosomal RNA". Lineage: Bacteria; Bacillati; Bacillota; Bacilli; Lactobacillales; Lactobacillaceae. The record is from RNAcentral.
AUGGCUCAGGAUGAACGCCGGCGGUGUGCCUAAUACAUGCAAGUCGUACGCACUGGCCCAACUGAUUGAUGGUGCUUGCACCUGAUUGACGAUGGAUCACCAGUGAGUGGCGGACGGGUGAGUAACACGUAGGUAACCUGCCCCGGAGCGGGGGAUAACAUUUGGAAACAGAUGCUAAUACCGCAUAACAACAAAAGCCACAUGGCUUUUGUUUGAAAGAUGGCUUUGGCUAUCACUCUGGGAUGGACCUGCGGUGCAUUAGCUAGUUGGUAAGGUAACGGCUUACCAAGGCGAUGAUGCAUAGCCGAGUUGAGAGACUGAUCGGCCACAAUGGAACUGAGACACGGUCCAUACUCCUACGGGAGGCAGCAGUAGGGAAUCUUCCACAAUGGGCGCAAGCCUGAUGGAGCAACACCGCGUGAGUGAAGAAGGGUUUCGGCUCGUAAAGCUCUGUUGUUGGAGAAGAACGUGCGUGAGAGUAACUGUUCACGCAGUGACGGUAUCCAACCAGAAAGUCACGGCUAACUACGUGCCAGCAGCCGCGGUAAUACGUAGGUGGCAAGCGUUAUCCGGAUUUAUUGGGCGUAAAGCGAGCGCAGGCGGUUGCUUAGGUCUGAUGUGAAAGCCUUCGGCUUAACCGAAGAAGUGCAUCGGAAACCGGGCGACUUGAGUGCAGAAGAGGACAGUGGAACUCCAUGUGUAGCGGUGGAAUGCGUAGAUAUAUGGAAGAACACCAGUGGCGAAGGCGGCUGUCUGGUCUGCAACUGACGCUGAGGCUCGAAAGCAUGGGUAGCGAACAGGAUUAGAUACCCUGGUAGUCCAUGCCGUAAACGAUGAGUGCUAGGUGUUGGAGGGUUUCCGCCCUUCAGUGCCGGAGCUAACGCAUUAAGCACUCCGCCUGGGGAGUACGACCGCAAGGUUGAAACUCAAAGGAAUUGACGGGGGCCCGCACAAGCGGUGGAGCAUGUGGUUUAAUUCGAAGCUACGCGAAGAACCUUACCAGGUCUUGACAUCUUGCGCUAACCUUAGAGAUAAGGCGUUCCCUUCGGGGACGCAAUGACAGGUGGUGCAUGGUCGUCGUCAGCUCGUGUCGUGAGAUGUUGGGUUAAGUCCCGCAACGAGCGCAACCCUUGUUACUAGUUGCCAGCAUUAAGUUGGGCACUCUAGUGAGACUGCCGGUGACAAACCGGAGGAAGGUGGGGACGACGUCAGAUCAUCAUGCCCCUUAUGACCUGGGCUACACACGUGCUACAAUGGACGGUACAACGAGUCGCAAGCUCGCGAGAGUAAGCUAAUCUCUUAAAGCCGUUCUCAGUUCGGACUGUAGGCUGCAACUCGCCUACACGAAGUCGGAAUCGCUAGUAAUCGCGGAUCAGCAUGCCGCGGUGAAUACGUUCCCGGGCCUUGUACACACCGCCCGUCACACCAUGGGAGUUUGUAACGCCCAAAGUCGGUGGCCUAACCUUUAUGG